AGCCCAGAGCCUGAAUCAGUGUGUGUGUUAGUGGAAGCGUCUGGAAAGGCGCGCGAUACAGGGUGACAGCCCCGUACACAAAAAUGCACAUACUGUGAGCUCGAUGAGUAGGGCGGGACACGUGGUAUCCUGUCUGAAUAUGGGGGGACCAUCCUCCAAGGCUAAAUACUCCUGACUGACCGAUAGUGAACCAGUACCGUGAGGGAAAGGCGAAAAGAACCCCGGCGAGGGGAGUGAAAAAGAACCUGAAACCGUGUACGUACAAGCAGUGGGAGCACGCUUCGGCGUGUGACUGCGUACCUUUUGUAUAAUGGGUCAGCGACUUAUAUUCUGUAGCAAGGUUAACCGAAUAGGGGAGCCGAAGGGAAACCGAGUCUUAACUGGGCGUUAAGUUGCAGGGUAUAGACCCGAAACCCGGUGAUCUAGCCAUGGGCAGGUUGAAGGUUGGGUAACACUAACUGGAGGACCGAACCGACUAAUGUUGAAAAAUUAGCGGAUGACUUGUGGCUGGGGGUGAAAGGCCAAUCAAACCGGGAGAUAGCUGGUUCUCCCCGAAAGCUAUUUAGGUAGCGCCUCGUGAAUUCAUCUCCGGGGGUAGAGCACUGUUUCGGCAAGGGGGUCAUCCCGACUUACCAACCCGAUGCAAACUGCGAAUACCGGAGAAUGUUAUCACGGGAGACACACGGCGGGUGCUAACGUCCGUCGUGAAGAGGGAAACAACCCAGACCGCCAGCUAAGGUCCCAAAGUCAUGGUUAAGUGGGAAACGAUGUGGGAAGGCCCAGACAGCCAGGAUGUUGGCUUAGAAGCAGCCAUCAUUUAAAGAAAGCGUAAUAGCUCACUGGUCGAGUCGGCCUGCGCGGAAGAUGUAACGGGGCUAAACCAUGCACCGAAGCUGCGGCAGCGACACUAUGUGUUGUUGGGUAGGGGAGCGUUCUGUAAGCCUGUGAAGGUGUACUGUGAGGUAUGCUGGAGGUAUCAGAAGUGCGAAUGCUGACAUAAGUAACGAUAAAGCGGGUGAAAAGCCCGCUCGCCGGAAGACCAAGGGUUCCUGUCCAACGUUAAUCGGGGCAGGGUGAGUCGACCCCUAAGGCGAGGCCGAAAGGCGUAGUCGAUGGGAAACAGGUUAAUAUUCCUGUACUUGGUGUUACUGCGAAGGGGGGACGGAGAAGGCUAUGUUGGCCGGGCGACGGUUGUCCCGGUUUAAGCGUGUAGGCUGGUUUUCCAGGCAAAUCCGGAAAAUCAAGGCUGAGGCGUGAUGACGAGGCACUACGGUGCUGAAGCAACAAAUGCCCUGCUUCCAGGAAAAGCCUCUAAGCAUCAGGUAACAUCAAAUCGUACCCCAAACCGACACAGGUGGUCAGGUAGAGAAUACCAAGGCGCUUGAGAGAACUCGGGUGAAGGAACUAGGCAAAAUGGUGCCGUAACUUCGGGAGAAGGCACGCUGAUAUGUAGGUGAAG
This 1459-nucleotide ribosomal RNA is filed under the name Escherichia coli. Its description in RNAcentral is "partial 23S ribosomal RNA". It matches the Rfam family "Bacterial large subunit ribosomal RNA", at positions 296 to 1767 of the family's 2925-position model. The record is from RNAcentral. Lineage: Bacteria; Pseudomonadati; Pseudomonadota; Gammaproteobacteria; Enterobacterales; Enterobacteriaceae.